CAGCAAUAGAAGGAUGCAGGUGCAAUGGAAAAAUAAAAGCAACACUGCCUGAGAGGGAGUAACGGGGGAGAGUAAGUCCAGACAGCACUGAGGGAUCCAGAUUGGUUCCCUUCAUGCACUCCUGAAUCAUGAUCCAAUGGGAAGGCAAACUACAGAGGUUUUUCAAAUUGCGCUCCCUUCGCCAAAGCACCAGAGCUGGAGUUCAUCCUUCUUGAUAGGACAAUGGGAAGAUAACUCUGCCAGGAGUGGGGCUUGGCUGUUUCAAGAUGGCCAUGUUAACACUUCCAGCACACAACUGUGUGUGGCCACUUUCAUCUGCUGCAGCCUCUGGCUUCCCUGACCCUUGGACUCCAAUGGCUUUUUCAGCCGCCACAGGAGAUUUGCCUGACUUGCAUGUGGUUUUUCCCUGGCAUUGCCCUCCACUUCUGCAACGAAGAACUUUUUAUUGUAACUUCCCCAGAGGAGAUUUACCAACAUACGAGCCAACUCCCUGAAACACUGCUAUGUGGUCUUACUAUCCAGCUGAGGCAGAUCAUGAAAGUUCAUCUGAACCGUGACUGGUCAACAACAAUCUAAGACAAUGCAGUGUACAGCUUUACAAGGCCCCCACAUCUGUUACUGCUUGGCAAAGGAGCUACACUACAGCAGGAAAUCAAAACACAAAAAUGUGCACUUCUUCUCUGUCCUCAUUCCCUACUAUGUCUUUUACUAGGUGGUAGGUAUGAAAUGUACUAUUUCCCCAAAUCCUCUGCUCCUGUUACCUCUCCCUCACAUGUUCAUAGCCCCAGUGGUUUCUUCAAGCCCUCCUUAUUGUUGUCCCAGUUCAGGAAAGCAUCCAUAAUCAACAACUUAAGUUAUGCACAUGCUUAAGUUUCAUUUAAGUUAAGCCCUUAAGUUGUUUUUUCUGAAUCAGGCCCUGUAAGAGUGACUCAGCAAAUCAGGGAAAAGAAACAAUAGCAUGAGAUUCAGGUGACUAGGCACAACUGAGGAAUUGAUCUCAAAUGCAGUGUGUUGGAACUCACAAUGAACUGAUAGUGAGCAAGCCAUAGAAUAAAAAUGUUCAAGAAAACAAAUUUUAACAAAGUAAAUUCAAAUAACAAAUGUGAGGAUGUCGCAGAAAAAGAGGCUAAAGUUGUCAAGGAAAAUUAUUCACCUUGAACUGUUCAGUCAAGCCCUAUUUUGAUUUCGGAGAUUCCUUCUCUUUACUGGGGCUCUGAGAUUUGUGUUUCCCAAAAUUUUCCAUCAUUUGCCUCAUGGAGGGCUAUUGAAAUAGCCCACCUCUUACUGAACUGGUCUCAUUCCAUCCACAGAGAUGACUGGAAUGUCUGUCACAAGCAGUGAAUGAAACAAUAAAAAAAAAAAAAAGAGCCAUUCUCAACAUUUCUCAGUGGCUGAUGUGAACCAUAGGGCAGGACACAGGGUUCUGAUGGUCCCUGACACCAAAACACACUGCAUAUCCCAACUAUUAGCCACACCUCCAUUGUUCUAUGCACAAACACACAAUAUUCAUGUAUAGUUCAACAGAUGUAAUGCACUGUAGUAAGUAAAUGAUGCAAUUGCAGGUAAUGCUCACAGAAUACAUAUGAAAAGGAACUAUUGGGUUUCUUACACAAG
Mauremys mutica (yellowpond turtle) is the source of this 1614-nucleotide long non-coding RNA. RefSeq lists it as uncharacterized. NCBI's taxonomy places the organism in Eukaryota, Metazoa, Chordata, Testudines, Geoemydidae. The record is from RefSeq and is a predicted model, not a curated record. The transcript is spliced from 5 exons.